CAUAUCAAUAAGCGGAGGAAAAGAAACUAACCAAGGAUUCCCCUAGUAACUGCGAGUGAAGCGGGAAAAGCUCAAAUUUAAAAUCUGUCAGUCUUUGACUGUCCGAGUUGUAAUCUAGAGAAGUGUUAUCCGCGCUGGACCGUGUACAAGUCUCCUGGAAUGGAGCGUCAUAGAGGGUGAGAAUCCCGUCUUUGACACGGACUGCCAGGGCUUUGUGAUGCGCUCUCAAAGAGUCGAGUUGUUUGGGAAUGCAGCUCAAAAUGGGUGGUAAAUUCCAUCUAAAGCUAAAUAUUGGCGAGAGACCGAUAGCGAACAAGUACCGUGAGGGAAAGAUGAAAAGAACUUUGGAAAGAGAGUUAAACAGUACGUGAAAUUGCUGAAAGGGAAACGCUUGAAGUCAGUCGCGUUGGCCAGGGAUCAACCUUGCUCUUGCUUGGUGUACUUUCUGGUUGACGGGUCAGCAUCAAUUUUGACUGUUGGAAAAAGGUCAAGGGAAUGUGGCAUCUUUGGAUGUGUUAUAGCCCUUGGUUGUAUACAAUGGUUGGGAUUGAGGAACUCAGCACGCCGCAAGGCCGGGUUUUUAACCACGUACGUGCUUAGGAUGCUGGCAUAAUGGCUUUAAUCGACCCGUCUUGAAACACGGACCAAGGAGUCUAACAUGCCUGCGAGUGUUUGGGUGGAAAACUCGAGCGCGCAAUGAAAGUGAAAGUUGAGAUCCCUGUCGUGGGGAGCAUCGACGCCCGGACCAGACCUUUUGUGACGGUUCCGCGGUAGAGCAUGUAUGUUGGGACCCGAAAGAUGGUGAACUAUGCCUGAAUAGGGUGAAGCCAGAGGAAACUCUGGUGGAGGCUCGUAGCGAUUCUGACGUGCAAAUCGAUCGUCAAAUUUGGGUAUAGGGGCCGAAAGACUAAUCGAAUCAUCUAGUAGCU
This 929-nucleotide ribosomal RNA is filed under the name Cortinarius tessiae. Its description in RNAcentral is "partial large subunit ribosomal RNA". It matches the Rfam family "Eukaryotic large subunit ribosomal RNA", at positions 39 to 952 of the family's 3401-position model. The record is from RNAcentral. Lineage: Eukaryota; Fungi; Basidiomycota; Agaricomycetes; Agaricales; Cortinariaceae.